This 681-nucleotide long non-coding RNA is filed under the name Chrysemys picta bellii (western painted turtle). RNAcentral's name for it is "lncRNA (ENSCPBG00000027179.1)". Lineage: Eukaryota; Metazoa; Chordata; Testudines; Emydidae. The record is from RNAcentral.
AUGUGCUGAGAGCCUGGACGGAGGGAAGAAGCGCUAAUCCUUUAGACUGGAUGAGAUCAGCUGAAACAGCCAGGACUAGACCCAAAAACCCCUCUGCUAGGAAGAUCAAGAGAAAAGGGAUAAAUUGAGAGAGACGCCUCAUAACCCCUUUAAAGAGCUUUGGAGAAGAGAAGAGCAGGAGAAUGGAAAGAUGCGUGGUGCACCCAUACAAGUUCAACUGGCUUUUUCCACGCCGAGCGGGAGCCUGAUUUUCACUCUGAUGAGGUCUUUCUUCAUUGUUCCAGGGGGAGGAAGAGAGAGAGAGGUCUAAAAAUUCAAAAGAUAAUGAGAGACUAGGCGCUUUUCUUAUUCAUCUCUAGCCCGCAUACACAAAACAAGCAUGCUGAACCACGGGAGGGCGUCCGCACUGGAUCUGAAAGGACGCGGAGUUUCUGCCGCCUAGCCACAGAGGGCUGCUUCCAUUGGAAUGGGGUCUCCGAUCAUCAAGACACAGCGGACCGCAGCCCGACUUGCGUAGGCCAACUCCCAACCCUACGGGAGCUUGCUCCGAGCUGGCCCCAGACACGUGCGUGGAGGAAGAGACAGACACGCGAAGGCACGGGGGGCAGAGGCAUCCCCCAAAGUGGGGAUAAUUCCUUGGCUCAGUCCGUAAUGAGGGAAGAAAAAGACCUCACCCACUAA